Molecule: ribosomal RNA, 465 nt
Filed under: Vreelandella stevensii
Lineage: Bacteria; Pseudomonadati; Pseudomonadota; Gammaproteobacteria; Oceanospirillales; Halomonadaceae
Description: partial 16S ribosomal RNA
Rfam family: Bacterial small subunit ribosomal RNA
Source: RNAcentral
CCUACGGGGGGCUGCAGUGGGGAAUAUUGGACAAUGGGGGGAACCCUGAUCCAGCCAUGCCGCGUGUGUGAAGAAGGCCCUCGGGUUGUAAAGCACUUUCAGUGAGGAAGAACGCCUGGUGGUUAAUACCCAUCAGGAAAGACAUCACUCACAGAAGAAGCACCGGCUAACUCCGUGCCAGCAGCCGCGGUAAUACGGAGGGUGCGAGCGUUAAUCGGAAUUACUGGGCGUAAAGCGCGCGUAGGUGGCUUGAUAAGCCGGUUAUGAAAGCCCCGGGCUCAACCUGGGAACGGCAUCCGGAACUGUCAAGCUAGAGUGCAGGAGAGGAAGGUAGAAUUCCCGGUGUAGCGGUGAAAUGCGUAGAGAUCGGGAGGAAUACCAGUGGCGAAGGCGGCCUUCUGGACUGACACUGACACUGAGGUGCGAAAGCGUGGGUAGCAAACAGGAUUAGAUACCCUUGUAGUC